CAGGACGAACGCUGGCGGCGUGCUUAACACAUGCAAGUCGAACGAUGAUGCCCAGCUUGCUGGGUUGAUUAGUGGCGAACGGGUGAGUAACACGUGAGUAACCUGCCCCUGACUCUGGGAUAAGCGUUGGAAACGACGUCUAAUACUGGAUAUGAUCGCCGGCCGCAUGGUCUGGUGGUGGAAAGAUUUUUUGGUUGGGGAUGGACUCGCGGCCUAUCAGCUUGUUGGUGAGGUAAUGGCUCACCAAGGCGACGACGGGUAGCCGGCCUGAGAGGGUGACCGGCCACACUGGGACUGAGACACGGCCCAGACUCCUACGGGAGGCAGCAGUGGGGAAUAUUGCACAAUGGGCGAAAGCCUGAUGCAGCAACGCCGCGUGAGGGAUGACGGCCUUCGGGUUGUAAACCUCUUUUAGUAGGGAAGAAGCGAAAGUGACGGUACCUGCAGAAAAAGCACCGGCUAACUACGUGCCAGCAGCCGCGGUAAUACGUAGGGUGCAAGCGUUGUCCGGAAUUAUUGGGCGUAAAGAGCUCGUAGGCGGUUUGUCGCGUCUGCUGUGAAAUCCCGAGGCUCAACCUCGGGCUUGCAGUGGGUACGGGCAGACUAGAGUGCGGUAGGGGAGAUUGGAAUUCCUGGUGUAGCGGUGGAAUGCGCAGAUAUCAGGAGGAACACCGAUGGCGAAGGCAGAUCUCUGGGCCGUAACUGACGCUGAGGAGCGAAAGCAUGGGGAGCGAACAGGAUUAGAUACCCUGGUAGUCCAUGCCGUAAACGUUGGGCGCUAGAUGYAGGGACCUUUCCACGGUUUCUGUGUCGUAGCUAACGCAU
RNAcentral lists this ribosomal RNA (825 nucleotides) under actinobacterium HA-est-Is43-14. Its description in RNAcentral is "bacterial SSU rRNA". It matches the Rfam family "Bacterial small subunit ribosomal RNA", at positions 25 to 860 of the family's 1533-position model. The record is from RNAcentral. Lineage: Bacteria; Bacillati; Actinomycetota; Actinomycetes.